Molecule: long non-coding RNA, 646 nt
Filed under: Rattus norvegicus (Norway rat)
Lineage: Eukaryota; Metazoa; Chordata; Mammalia; Rodentia; Muridae
Description: long non-coding RNA NONRATT008948
Source: RNAcentral
AGGUGGUGGCCCACAUCUUUUUCCGAUCCCAGGACACUGAGGCAGGCAGAUCUCUGAGUUCAAGGCCAGCCUGGUCUACAGAGCGAGUUCCAGGACAGCUAGCGCUACACAGAGAAACCCUGUCUCAAAGAAACCUGUUUCAACAAAACAAAAAUGAGCAAGGAGCAAGCAGACAAGGAGGAAAGGCUUCCCUCUUCUAUACUUUUAUCCGGGCUGCCAUGGGAAGGUGCAGCCUAGGUUUCAAGUGGGUCUUGCUUCAAGUCAUCUGAUAAGAAGAUCCCUCCUAUUUUUGUAGUCCUGGGGAUUGAACCUAGGCUAAGUCCUCUGGAGGGCUGAGCUGAGUCCCUGCACAGUCAAGUUGGCAGCCAAGAUUAGCCAUCACAGUGUGUCUGCACAGUAUUUAGCAAGCUAGCCCAUUUUUUCAUUUCUGUUGGCUAUGCUCAGGCAAGGAUUCCAGGGACUUACUGCUUUUCCUACCAAUACAAAGGAUUUCCUCCUCUUGGACUCAAUUUUCUCAUCUGUUAUAUGGCAAUAUGAACAGAAGGUAACUCACGUACGUGGUCAAGUAAGACUUCGUUAGCAGGUCAAAGCAAAGCCUGUCUCUUUGUUUUUGUAGUACCAGGGAUUGAACCUAGACUAUAUUCCC